RNAcentral lists this ribosomal RNA (506 nucleotides) under Theileria equi. Its description in RNAcentral is "SSU rRNA". It matches the Rfam family "Eukaryotic small subunit ribosomal RNA", at positions 500 to 1039 of the family's 1831-position model. The record is from RNAcentral. Lineage: Eukaryota; Apicomplexa; Aconoidasida; Piroplasmida; Theileriidae.
GUCUUGUAAUUGGAAUGAUGGGAAUUUAAACCCCUUCCAGAGUAUCAAUUGGAGGGCAAGUCUGGUGCCAGCAGCCGCGGUAAUUCCAGCUCCAAUAGCGUAUAUUAAACUUGUUGCAGUUAAAAAGCUCGUAGUUGAAUUUCUGCUGCAUCGUGGUUCUUCGCUAUGUCGAGUGAUCUUCGUUGUGGCUUAGUUGGGGCAUGUUUUCAUGACUCGACGUUUACUUUGAGAAAACUAGAGUGCUUCAAGCAGGCUUUUGCCUUGAAUACUUUAGCAUGGAAUAAUGGAGUAGGACUUUGGUUCUAUUUUGUUGGUUUUAGGAGCCGGAGUAAUGGUUAAUAGGAACAGUUGGGGGCAUUCGUAUUUGACUGUCAGAGGUGAAAUUCUUAGAUUUGUCAAAGACGAACUACUGCGAAAGCAUUUGCCAAGGAUGUUUCCAUUAAUCAAGAACGAAAGUUAGGGGAUCGAAGACGAUCAGAUACCGUCGUAGCCCUAACCAUAAACUA